CUCCGCGCAUCCGAGGAAAUUCUUCGUUGCUCCCGAGCCUGGCUAGCGCGAGCGGGAGAGGAGCAGUGUGGGAGAGUGUGCUGAGCAGCCCAACCAAUCAAUUUCCCUGCAUAUCCUGGUCACAUGCAAACAAGCAACCAAUCAACUGUCUGUGUAUCUUCAGAGCCUGGUCGACGGGGGCCUGCUUCGCUGAUACGAGGCAGGCUAGGCUGGUUCAGCAAACCAAUCAGGCCCCUAGUGGGACCCUGAACCCAUUAACGAAACGGCGGUGGGGCCAUGGAUCGGAACCUCAGGGUCGAGGGGAUCGACCCUUCUCCUUCCAGCGGCGCUGCUACUCGCCGCCGGCCCUCCGCUCCGGCGCCCCCUCCAGGUGUACCUUGCUGCUGGCCCUCGACUCCGCUCCGCUCUGGCGUCCCCUCCAUUGUCCUUUGGCGCUCUGCUCCGCUCUGUUCCGGUGACUACUCUGCUGUCCUUGGUACUCUGCUCCCCUCUGCUCUGGUGUUCAUGGCGGCGCAGUAGCUAUCCGACGCCGGCGCUCUUCUCUGCUCUUGUUGGGAUAGCUGUGGCUGGACAAUGAUAUUUUGGAUCAAGAAUGGACAAAGGAAAGGUUUCACAUGCAGAUGUUGUGUACCCUGAGUUGCUGGUGGUCUUUGUGCUUUACUGUUAUGCAAUCUCUUCGCCAGCUAUUUCUUUUGUUUUGUAAUUUUCGGGUGCUGUGGUAGAAGCAAGUGAUCGUUCUACCUUAAUUGUAUGGCAAAUAGGCAAUUUCCCUGUCUAGAAACUCUUCUGAAUUGUUAGAGCUCCAGUCAGUUGUUUGAACCUCUGGACUCUAAAACAACAA
Long non-coding RNA from Setaria italica (foxtail millet), 841 nucleotides. RefSeq lists it as uncharacterized. The transcript has 2 exons. The record is from RefSeq and is a predicted model, not a curated record. NCBI's taxonomy places the organism in Eukaryota, Viridiplantae, Streptophyta, Magnoliopsida, Poales, Poaceae.